Molecule: ribosomal RNA, 399 nt
Filed under: uncultured Novosphingobium sp.
Lineage: Bacteria; Pseudomonadati; Pseudomonadota; Alphaproteobacteria; Sphingomonadales; Sphingomonadaceae
Description: bacterial SSU rRNA
Rfam family: Bacterial small subunit ribosomal RNA
Source: RNAcentral
GGAAUAUUGGACAAUGGGCGCAAGCCUGAUCCAGCAAUGCCGCGUGAGUGAUGAAGGCCUUCGGGUCGUAAAGCUCUUUUGCCCGGGAUGAUAAUGACAGUACCGGGAGAAUAAGCCCCGGCUAACUCCGUGCCAGCAGCCGCGGUAAUACGGAGGGGGCUAGCGUUGUUCGGAAUUACUGGGCGUAAAGCGCACGUAGGCGGCUACUCAAGUCAGAGGUGAAAGCCCGGGGCUCAACCCCGGAACUGCCUUUGAAACUAGGUGGCUAGAAUCUUGGAGAGGCGAGUGGAAUUCCGAGUGUAGAGGUGAAAUUCGUAGAUAUUCGGAAGAACACCAGUGGCGAAGGCGACUCGCUGGACAAGUAUUGACGCUGAGGUGCGAAAGCGUGGGGAGCAAACA